UGACUGAGUGGCGGACGGGUGAGUAACGCGUGGGUAACCUGCCUCAUACAGGGGGAUAACAGUUAGAAAUGACUGCUAAUACCGCAUAAGCGCACAGUGCUGCAUGGCACAGUGUGAAAAACUCCGGUGGUAUGAGAUGGACCCGCGUCUGAUUAGCUAGUUGGUGGGGUAACGGCCUACCAAGGCGACGAUCAGUAGCCGGCCUGAGAGGGUGAACGGCCACAUUGGGACUGAGACACGGCCCAAACUCCUACGGGAGGCAGCAGUGGGGAAUAUUGCACAAUGGGGGAAACCCUGAUGCAGCGACGCCGCGUGAGCGAAGAAGUAUUUCGGUAUGUAAAGCUCUAUCAGCAGGGAAGAAAAUGACGGUACCUGACUAAGAAGCACCGGCUAAAUACGUGCCAGCAGCCGCGGUAAUACGUAUGGUGCAAGCGUUAUCCGGAUUUACUGGGUGUAAAGGGAGCGUAGACGGUUGUGUAAGUCUGAUGUGAAAGCCCGGGGCUCAACCCCGGGACUGCAUUGGAAACUAUGUAACUAGAGUGUCGGAGAGGUAAGCGGAAUUCCUAGUGUAGCGGUGAAAUGCGUAGAUAUUAGGAGGAACACCAGUGGCGAAGGCGGCUUACUGGACGAUCACUGACGUUGAGGCUCGAAAGCGUGGGGAGCAAACAGG
RNAcentral lists this ribosomal RNA (670 nucleotides) under uncultured Lachnospiraceae bacterium. RNAcentral describes it as "bacterial SSU rRNA". It matches the Rfam family "Bacterial small subunit ribosomal RNA", at positions 88 to 776 of the family's 1533-position model. Lineage: Bacteria; Bacillati; Bacillota; Clostridia; Lachnospirales; Lachnospiraceae. The record is from RNAcentral.